CACCAUGCUGACGACGUUCUGCUCAUCACAGGCCAUCAAUCAAAAUAUCAAAAAUCGGACUUCCACGACUUUUAGAGAAUAAUUUGCUUCACAACUGGCCCGCUUUGUCAGAGGGUGUCAGAGUAUAUAGGCCUGACAACCUUCAGUUUCUGAAACAGCCAAUUAAAAAACUUAAAACACUUGGGGGGUCUAUUGCUUCAUAUUCUUGCAUAGAGGCCCCAUCACAUCCUAUGUGUCAGAUUUGGGGUCUCCAGGGUCACAGGGAGCCACGUGGCGCCCGAAAAAAUGGAGGGAAAAUAUUUAUUAAUUAAUAUACUUAUAUUUCAUAAACACUUCAGGAGUGUUUUGUCUUGAAAUCGACCCGUUUAGAAUAACCAAUUGGAAGGGUAUACCCAAGUAGGCUAAGGAAAGAAACACAAGUGUAUUGGGGACAAACGGGGUCUCAGUCACAGUAAUAACUGACAUUACACAUAUCCUGACUUUUACUGUCCCCACCGUGAAUCUGCUGUUACCCCACCUCUGCUGUUUUCUCUAAAAUAAGACAUUGGUAAUACUAAGAACGUGAUUCUGUUUGUUAUUUUUCUAUUCAUAUUCACCUUUUUAAUUUAAGUUGAGUAAUUUCAUCUCUACAGAGUAUGUAAUCUUUCCACCCAGUCUCAGUAAUAACUGCUAUAUCACACAGAUCCUGACUUUUACGGUCCCCACCGUGACCAUGCCCCUCCCCCACCCCUGUUGUUUCUCUCAGGAAAUGCUGACUUGGGGCGGUAAAGAUUGUUUGAAUGUGUUGGUCAAAUGACUAUUAACAAUGGAUUUAAGGAAAACAGACGCCUCUGCAAUAGAAAUGGUUUCGCCAGUGCCUGCAAAUAUACCAAUAUAUUGGUAUUUUCAUACGUUCUAGAAGUCUGGGGUCAAAAGGUCAAAAGGAGCCGGCACCACGCCGCUUAUGAGAUAACAAACAGUUAAUGUGUAUUUCUCUCGUAACUUUUUGUCUUCUCUCGUAACUACCGGGAGCACCCCCAGAAACACAAAAGUGUAUUGGGGACAAACGGGGUCUCAGUCAAGAACGGGGUCUCAACUGACAUUACACAUAUCCUGACUUUUACAGUCCCCAGCGUGAAUCUGCUGUUACCCCACCUCUGCGGUUUUCUCUAAAAUAAGACAUUGGUAAUACUAAGAACGUGAUUCUGUUUGUUUAUUUUUCUAUUUAUAUUCACCUUUUUAAUUUAAGUUGAGUAAUUUCAUCUCUACAGAGUAUGUAAUCUUUCCACCCAGUCUCAGUAAUAACUGCUAUAUCACACAGAUCCUGACUUUUACAGUCCCCACCGUGACCAUGCCCCUCCCCACCCCUGUUGUUUCUCUCAGGAAAUGCUGGCUUGGGGCGGUAAAGAUUGUUUGAAUGUGUUGGUCAAAUGACUAUUCACAAUUGAUUUAAGGAAAACAGACGCCUCUGCAAUAGAAAUGGUUUUGCCAGUGCCUGCAAACAUACCAAUAUAUUGGUAUAUUUGCUUAUUGUGAUGUAAUUUCCUACAUUAUCUGAAAAUGCUUAAUUUUCCCUAAAAGACCAAUCAUCAGUCAAUGAAUAUAUUAUGAUGCAUGA
Molecule: long non-coding RNA, 1597 nt
Filed under: Gadus morhua (Atlantic cod)
Lineage: Eukaryota; Metazoa; Chordata; Actinopteri; Gadiformes; Gadidae
Description: lncRNA (ENSGMOG00000027195.1)
Source: RNAcentral